UCCCAGCGGUCCAAGUCGCAACCACGUUUAUUGGGUCUAAAACAUCCGUAGCUUGUCUUGUAAGUCUCUUGUGAAAUCGGGCAUCUUAAGUGUCCGGCGCGCAAGAGAUACUGCUUGACUCGAGACCGGGAGAUGCAAGGAGUACGUACAGGGUAGCGGUUAAAUGCGUUGAUCCUGUGUGGACUAACGACAGCGAAGGCACCUUGCAAGAACGGAUCUGACAGUGAGGGAUGAAGGCUAGGGGCGCAAAUUG
This 253-nucleotide ribosomal RNA is filed under the name uncultured archaeon. RNAcentral's name for it is "partial 16S ribosomal RNA". It matches the Rfam family "Archaeal small subunit ribosomal RNA", at positions 474 to 726 of the family's 1478-position model. The record is from RNAcentral.